GAUGAACGCUGGCGGCGUGCCUAACACAUGCAAGUCGAGCGGAGAUAUAGGAAGUAGCAAUACGGAAUAUAUCUUAGCGGCGGACGGGUGAGUAACACGUGAGUAACCUACCUUAUACAGGGGAAUAACACCGUGAAAACGGUGCUAAUACCGCAUAACAUUAUCUUGUGGCAUCGCAGGAUAAUCAAAGGAGCAAUCCGGUAAAAGAUGGACUCGCGUCCGAUUAGCUAGUUGGUGAGGUAAAGGCCCACCAAGGCGACGAUCGGUAGCCGAACUGAGAGGUUGAUCGGCCACAUUGGGACUGAGACACGGCCCAGACUCCUACGGGAGGCAG
This 334-nucleotide ribosomal RNA is filed under the name uncultured Bacillota bacterium. RNAcentral's name for it is "bacterial SSU rRNA". It matches the Rfam family "Bacterial small subunit ribosomal RNA", at positions 28 to 351 of the family's 1533-position model. The record is from RNAcentral. Lineage: Bacteria; Bacillati; Bacillota.